AUACGAUCGAGGAGACUAAGGAAUUGCUUGAUCAGUCUUUAAUGAUAUAUGUCUGAGAGAAGGAAUGGUGGUCGAUUGUAGAGCGAAAUGCAGCUUUUGAAGGAUCGUGACGCGGCUGCGCGUAAAGAGGGCUUACAGGCAAAUAUCAGUGUCAGUAUGAUCAGUAGAAAGACACAGAGGGCCACGGAGGAGUUACCCUAGAAAGGCAACUUCCUAGCUACCCUCCUGGCCACUUUCUUGGUCACCUUCCCAGUCUACCCUCCUACGGACGAGCCAAAGAAAAUUGCGUUUUCCGCAGAGCGGUCUGGACGCAGUUAAGUACAUAAUUCGAUGAACCCAUUGAGAUCUAGGGCUAACUUAAAAAGAAACAUCUUUGAAGAAGAAGGGUGUAUAUCCUUAUUGGAGACAGUGAAAGUUAUUGAUUCUCUUACGUUGUGGAAAGGAGCAACCAAAUCGAGAGUUUAUCUAUUCACUCAUAUUUCGAAUAUACAUAUUACUCUUUUGUGUUCCUUAAGGAUCGAGUAGACUUAAAAUAGACAAGAUGAAGGUAGGACUACUGAAAAACUUUUUAUAUUACUUUAGUCUCCGGCAAGGUACCGUGUUAAUUGCUAUAAUACAAUUGUUCAUGUCCGGAUUUAGUAUGAUGUUUUUCGUAUUGGCAUUGGCACACGCUAUGGGGAUUCAAGAAAUGGUGGUAAGAGACACCGAGGAUGCUCUCGAAAGAGAAGCUUUAGAGGAUAUAUCUUCGAAUCAUCUCAAUACUAAAAAAAUGGACAUGGCUCACCAUAAUGCUACUGAGACCGUUUAUUCCAUGUAUUGUGGAUUAGUGAUCACGGUGAUACACUUCAUGACUACGAUCCUUUUGCUUUACGGAGCAUUAACGAACAAUCGUCAUUUUAUGGCACCAUGGAUGAUGGUAAUGAUGACGAUAAUAUCGGCAUUGACCAUAUCCCUGUUCCUGGUUGAACAAGACUGUCCAUUCAUCGCUAUUCUCGGCGGAAAGGCAGACAUUUGCGAACGCGCGAUCGUGUUGUUAUUUGUUAUCACGAGUUCUUACAUAUGGUUCGUCGUAUAUAGUACGUAUAAGAGUCUUGAAAUAAAGAAAGGAUUGAUGCAUGAAGUACACAAUGUCAAGAAAUAUGCAUUACCGAUAGCGGAAGGUUCGAAAUCAUUUCAUGUAUCUGCUACCAAGCCCUAUGAGGUUUAAAAGUCUUGUAAAGGAAGAAGAGGAAAAACAAAAAAGGGAGAAACGCAAAAAAAAAAAAAAGAAAGGAGAGCACAUAUGAAAACAUUCACACACACACACACACACACAAAUACAAAGAGAAAAAUCUAAUAGAGGAUCGACCUCGCAUCGAAAUAAAUAAGAAAAAACGAUAAAAGAAGGAGGA
Molecule: unclassified non-coding RNA, 1391 nt
Organism: Vespa mandarinia (Asian giant hornet)
Lineage: Eukaryota; Metazoa; Arthropoda; Insecta; Hymenoptera; Vespidae
Source: RefSeq, a predicted model, not a curated record